Molecule: transfer RNA, 77 nt
Filed under: Escherichia coli
Lineage: Bacteria; Pseudomonadati; Pseudomonadota; Gammaproteobacteria; Enterobacterales; Enterobacteriaceae
Also listed under: 7 other names
Description: tRNA-Pro
Rfam family: tRNA
About the family: Transfer RNA (tRNA) molecules are approximately 80 nucleotides in length. Their secondary structure includes four short double-helical elements and three loops (D, anti-codon, and T loops). Further hydrogen bonds mediate the characteristic L-shaped molecular structure. tRNAs have two regions of fundamental functional importance: the anti-codon, which is responsible for specific mRNA codon recognition, and the 3' end, to which the tRNAs corresponding amino acid is attached (by aminoacyl-tRNA synthetases). tRNAs cope with the degeneracy of the genetic code in two manners: having more than one tRNA (with a specific anti-codon) for a particular amino acid; and 'wobble' base-pairing, i.e. permitting non-standard base-pairing at the 3rd anti-codon position.
Source: RNAcentral
CGGCGAGUAGCGCAGCUUGGUAGCGCAACUGGUUUGGGACCAGUGGGGCGGAGGUUCGAAUCCUCUCUCGCCGACCA